GCCGGGGCUGCCGGCCCUGCCGCGAGGAGCAGGAGUCUGGAAAGCGGCAACUGGCUUCCUAUUGUACAGCACAGGGUGGGCUGCCGUGAGCCUCAGCAGACCCGGGCAGGCCUCGUGAGAAUGUAGGACGUAAGCGUUUUGGGAGGUUCGGAAAGCGGACUGCAGAGCCCUUGCCUGCAGCUCUGGUUUGCGCCCUGGCUCCGGCCUUACUUGUGUUUCGCCCACAAGAAUGGCUUCCUUCAGUCUUUCCUGAAGUUGGGCGCCAUGCAGAAAGCCUUGAGUUAGAAGCUGGAGGGAGGAGGGCUUAUAGAUGCUUGCGGAACGUCCUUAAACCAGCAUGAAAUGUUGGAGGUUGAGGUGAAAAAUACUGCUUUGAUAUCUUCAUGGAAGACUGCAUUAUUUCAUCCCUGAAUCUGGUUCAGUUCCCUUAUUGACUGAUUACUGUGUUAAAAUGCUUGUUUAGCAGUGAUUGUAAAAUAACAGUAAUUAACAUGUACAUGCUCUCUUGGGGCAGACUAAGGGAAAACAGGUGUUCAGCCUGGAAAAGUGUUGCUCAUUGGAUUUCCCAUUAAGUCAGUAUGUCUUGGGUUUAACUUUUAAACAAGUUAAAAAAUUAAAUAUUUUAAAAUCUAUAGGCUAUUCUGUUUCAAUAUUUCUAUUACCUUUGUGGUGUCAGAAAAUGUGCUUUGAAUUGCUAAAAUGAGUUGUAUUAGCAAACACCUGUCUCAGCAGAGGCACUUACUAGAAUUU
This 750-nucleotide long non-coding RNA is filed under the name Bos mutus (wild yak). Its description in RNAcentral is "lncRNA (ENSBMUG00000012842.1)". The record is from RNAcentral. Lineage: Eukaryota; Metazoa; Chordata; Mammalia; Artiodactyla; Bovidae.